Molecule: ribosomal RNA, 476 nt
Filed under: uncultured bacterium
Lineage: Bacteria
Description: bacterial SSU rRNA
Rfam family: Bacterial small subunit ribosomal RNA
Source: RNAcentral
ACGCUGGCGGCGUAGCUUAACACAUGCAAGUCGAACGAGAAUCUGCGGAAAGAGGAUUCGUCCAAUUGAAGCAGAGGACAGUGGCGGACGGGUGAGUAACGCGUGAGGAACCUGCCUUUCAGAGGGGGACAACAGUUGGAAACGACUGCUAAUACCGCAUAACGCGUAGAGAUCGCAUGGUCUUUACGCCAAAGAUUUAUCGCUGAAAGAUGGCCUCGCGUCUGAUUAGCUAGUUGGUGAGGUAACGGCCCACCAAGGCGACGAUCAGUAGCCGGACUGAGAGGUUGAACGGCCACAUUGGGACUGAGAUACGGCCCAGACUCCUACGGGAGGCAGCAGUGGGGAAUAUUGGGCAAUGGGCGCAAGCCUGACCCAGCAACGCCGCGUGAAGGAAGAAGGCUUUCGGGUUGUAAACUUCUUUUGUCAGGAACGAGUAGAAGACGGUACCUGACGAAUAAGCCACGGCUAACUACGUG